Molecule: long non-coding RNA, 979 nt
Filed under: Capra hircus (goat)
Lineage: Eukaryota; Metazoa; Chordata; Mammalia; Artiodactyla; Bovidae
Description: lncRNA (ENSCHIG00000007983.1)
Source: RNAcentral
AUGCCCAGGCGGGACCCCGCAGUGCCCCGGUCUGGCUUGGACCUUAGCAUUGGGAAGCUGAAUCGUCACUGUCCUCUACUCUCCCGAGACCCACUGAAAAUGAACAUAUCUGAGCACUUGAAAUCAUGUAGCUUUCUUCUUACUUGUGCAAGAAUUACCUGCAUGGAUCCUACAUUAUGGAAAAUCUGCAAAGAUGUUCCUUGUAUGUUUUGAAGGUCUUGGAUUCAUGCUUAAGGACUGGUAGGAGUCACUUAGCAAAAAACAUCCCACCAUGAAGCACUUUGAGCUAACUCCAGGAAAUAGUGAAUGCCUGGCAUGCUGCGGUCCAUGGGGUCAUAGAGCUGGUCACGACUGAACAACUGAAAAACAACAAUGAAGCACUUAUAUUCAAGGAAAGUUGCAAAUUUUCCUCAAAUACUGUUGACUUACCAUCUCUUUUCUUCUUCCCCUGUGGGAGUCAGUUUCCAUGUGUGAAGUGUUUUGCUUUAAAUUCUUUUAUGUUUUUCAAUUGCUUGAAUUUUUUUUUCUUUUAGUCAGUGACAUUCAGAUCAUUUCCCUAAUGCUUACCUAAUAUUAAAACACAUUGUUUCAGGUGAUAAAUGUGAGAUUUUGUUCUUAGCCUGUACAAAAUAUUCAAUACAUUUGUGUCAUUCUACUUUAUCAAGGGAGACUGGGUCAUUUUCUCUCUUGGGACCAUAGUGAGAGUCUUCUGCAAACUGCUUAUAGUUCCUCAAGUCAUUGUACAUUACAGUUCCCCCGUUCCUUGUACAUUAUAGUAUUUCCUUCUCAGGAACCCUCUCCUUCUUGUUUACCUGUCCAAUUCCUGCUCAUCCUUCAUGUCUCAGUGCAGGCGUCACCUCCCCGGGGAAGGCCUCCCUGGGAGGGAGAGAGCAGCCUGGCUCCUUCUCACCCCGCUGUCUCCCAUGCUAACACACACCAUCAUCCUGGUCACUUUCCUUAUAAAUAAAGAUGACAGACC